UACGACCACAACACUUUGAAACACCGGUUCUUGUACGAUCAUCGAAGUUAAGCAAUGUCGAGCUUGGUCAGUAUCUAGAUGGUUGAGCGCUUAGGAAUUCCAGGUGUUGUAAG
This is a non-coding RNA of Acanthosepion pharaonis, 113 nucleotides long. NCBI's taxonomy places the organism in Eukaryota, Metazoa, Mollusca, Cephalopoda, Sepiida, Sepiidae. The record is from the annotation of a GenBank genome assembly.